CACCCGCCCCCCACCCCCACGCACACACACAGAGCUGUGACGCUCUAGAGACUCAGGUUAGCCUGGCUGGUCAGGGACAUGGAGGUCACUGCAGGGGGACAAUGGGUUCAUUUGGGGAAAUCCACCUUCCCUCCCAACACGGCUGUCAGGAGGAAGGGCUCAGCACCUCCGCCCCCGCCCGGCUCCCCCUGGUCUCCUCCCACCUGCCACCUGGAGGCACCGCACCACAGGAGUGAGUCUGGCCACAGCGAGACACGCAGGCAGAGCCCCAUGGAAAGACACACUGGUGCGCGUAAUCCAGGGAAGAGGCAAACCCUGCUCCUGUUGUCAUGGCAACCCAACUCGCCUGCGCAAGGGCUUUAAUUGGAAGCGCUUAUUUGGCUGAAACCCCGGGAAUAAUCAACAGGAGAUUAGAAACAUUAAAAACCAGCAGGACUCAGGAAGCAUUUUGGAGGGGAUGGUGACAGAAAGGACAGUCCCCCUGGAAACCAUCGAUGGCAAUAAUAACAACCGUUACAUCUACUGAGUGACAUGCCACACCAGGCCUGUGCUGAGCCCCUGCGUGUGUUAGUCACCGAAUGCUUUCAAAAACCCUUAGGAUGCUUCUCCUAUUUUGCAGACAGGGAACUUUCUGAAACUCAGAGAGGUUAAGGAAGUGGCCCAAGACUGCACAGGACUUAAAGCCAGCUUGGGUGACUCCGGAAGCCACCAUGGAUUACGAGCACCCUGCUAUGCCUCUCACGUCUCCGAGAGGCUCGAGCACCCGCCCCUGGACCUGUACAGCUGGCUGCUCCUCCUAGGUGGCUGACACGCCAUGGACCCCAGCCUCACCCUCACCAGUGGCUCCCGUGUCAGCCUUGACCUCCAAGGCACCAGCCAAUGCUGCCUCCCGGCUGUCCCUGACUGCCUGCCCUUGGCCAGCAUUUGUUUUCUCUGCUCUGCCACCAGUGUCCACCCUCAAGCCCGCCGUGGGCCUGGUGACCCCUGGUGGCAACAAUGGGGCACUGCACCAAGGCGCAGGUUAUUCCCAGACAGACCCCAAAGAGGGAAGGGGCUGGUUCAGAAAACUCCCUGGGAAGAUCCCCGACUCUGGAAGGCUCCUGGGGGUGCCACAGCCAACGGGAGGGCAGCGUGGCCAGCACCCAGCAGCUGGCAGGAGAGCACGGUUCUGGGCAAAGCUCCUGGAAGUCCUCCCAGUGUGUCCUCCCUUUUCUGCUGAGGCAGGGGAGGCUAAUUAUCACCGAGGGACCUGCUGGGCACAGGACACUGCCACCAACCACAAGGGACUGGCUGAGGCCCACUGUUCCCAGAGCCCAGUGAGCAAGCCCAGCAGGCAAAGGCCCUGGCAAGGUCCUGGAUUGAAGGGCCAUGCCCAGGCCCUGACCACCAUGACGGCAGCUGGACCAUGGGGUCUCCCCCAGAGUGCAUGCUGGUGGCCUCCAUGUAGGGCUUCCUGAGCACCCAUCACACCAGAUGCCAGGCUCCAGCUCGGCUGGCUGCAGCUUCCGUGAGUAGAGCCACUGCACCCGGGGCACCAGCCGGUGCAGAACGGAGCCUCCACAACGGUGGGCUGCAAGAGGGUAUUUUUACCCCAACGUUUAUCCACUGAGCAAUUGAAAUUACUUUUUUUAAAGCAACUGGCAUUUACUCAGUUGGCGUCUUAUUAAAUCCCCCUCCUUGAACCACUUGAAUAUGCAAGUCACCGUUGUUCCAAGUAAGAGGACUUACAAUUCAAACAGUGAGGGGAACGCAUGUGACGUGACCUACACCCCCAGAAGCCAGAACAGAAGGGCUGGGAGGAGGGAGGAGGUGAGGGCCGCAUCUGCGAGACUGUCCAUCAGCGCCCAGAGGCACCAGCUUGCUCCUCUUGACCCUGGGCUGCAGCCCAGGUGGAGGCCAGCAGAGCAGCCCCAGGUCAGAGGUGGCUAGGGGGCUCCAGGGGCCACACUGCCUGCCAUCCAGCCAUGGCAGGGCAGCCUCAGGGUCAGAUCCAGACCUUUAAACGUCUAAUAUCCCUCAGAC
RNAcentral lists this long non-coding RNA (2022 nucleotides) under Marmota monax (woodchuck). The record is from RNAcentral. Lineage: Eukaryota; Metazoa; Chordata; Mammalia; Rodentia; Sciuridae.